RNAcentral lists this ribosomal RNA (707 nucleotides) under Clostridium sp. 31. RNAcentral describes it as "bacterial SSU rRNA". It matches the Rfam family "Bacterial small subunit ribosomal RNA", at positions 794 to 1493 of the family's 1533-position model. The record is from RNAcentral. Lineage: Bacteria; Bacillati; Bacillota; Clostridia; Eubacteriales; Clostridiaceae.
CCCACNCCGUAANCGAUGGAUACUAGGUGUAGGGGGUAUCCAACUNCCCCUUGUGCCCCAGUUAACACAAUAAGUAUNCCCGCUGGGAAGUACGGUCGCAAGAUUAAAACUCCAAAGGAAUUGACGGGGGNCCGCACAAGCAGCGGAGCAUGUGGUUUAAUUCGAAGCAACGCGAAGAACCUUACCUGGACUUGACAUCCCCUUGCAUAGCCUAGAGAUAGGUGAAGCCCUUACGGGGCAAGGAGACAGGUGGUGCAUGGUUGUCGUACGCUCGUGUACGUGAGAUGUUAGGUUAAGUACCUGCAACGAGCGCAACCCUUGUUAUUAGUUGCUACCAUUAAGUUGAGCACUCUAAUGAGACUGCCUGGGUAACCAGGAGGAAGGUGGGGAUGACGUCAAAUCAUCAUGCCCCUUAUGUCCAGGGCUACACACGUGACUACAAUGGUAGGUAACAAUAAGACGCAAGACCGUGAGGUGGAGCAAAACUUAUAAAACCUAUCUCAGUUCGGAUUGUAGGCUGCAACUCGCCUACAUGAAGCUGGAGUUGCUAGUAAUCGCGAAUCAGAAUGUCGCGGUGAAUACGUUCCCGGGCCUUGUACACACCGCCCGNCCCCCCCCAUGAGAGCUGGUAACACCCGAAGUCCGUGAGGUAAACCGUAAGGAGCCAGCGGCCGAAGGUGGGAUUAGUGANNNAAAUGCAUGAUUCA